RNAcentral lists this long non-coding RNA (21542 nucleotides) under Coffea arabica (coffee). Its description in RNAcentral is "long non-coding RNA (CARA_LNC005017)". The stretch from base 10460 to 10537 matches the Rfam family "Small nucleolar RNA snoR28". Lineage: Eukaryota; Viridiplantae; Streptophyta; Magnoliopsida; Gentianales; Rubiaceae. The record is from RNAcentral.
AGGGAAAUUAUGCAGAGAGCAGUUAUGUUACUUUUAAGUUUAAAAAGUCCCAACUUGAACUGAAGUUAGUAAUCCUUACCUACUCCUGUAGAAAGGAACAACAUUCUAUGAUUGUCAGCAUGAUACCAGAAUCCAUAAAAAUGUUUGAACUAGGAAUUUCCUCAAAGAGUAAUACUUGUCUAAAGUAGUAUAGCAAAGCAGAAAGCAAGGAAUACAACUAAUCAAAAUACUCAUAAAUCGAACAAAUAUAUUUGCUUACCUGUUGAGUAUAUUGUAAAUAACCAGCAUAUGCACCAUAUCCAUACAAUGAGGGAUCUUGUGUGGCUCCAUAUGAAUAUGCAUCAUAGCCUUGUCCAUAACCAUAAUAAGCACUCCAUUGAUUAGGAUCUGUAGGCUGGGUCCAAGUACCAGGUAGAUCCUGUCAGUGGUAUCAAAUACUCAACAUCAUUUAACAAAGUCCAUAACAACACUAAGCUCUUUGUCUCAGUAGAUAGAUAGUACUCAUCACUUGACUCCCCAUUACCUCUGCUUUCUUAAAGGAUCAAUAAGUGUCCUAGUUCUCUGCCUUAUUAAUUGCUUAAAAUAACAUCCAAGUGGAAAAAAGUAUCCUAUCCAAUCCAUAAAAAAUACAUUCCAAUCCAGGCCAGUGUGAUAAAAAAGAAAGUUAAUGACAGACACCUGCUUUGCCGUUGGACUCCUUCCCCAAGAAAGACGGACUACUUGUUGCCCAAUCACAGCGCCCUGCAUCCUUUGAAUUGCUUCUUCUGCAGAUGUCCUGCAAAGAUGAAUAUCAAAAGACAGAAAUUUGUCCAGAAAGAAAAUGACUAAAUGCGUACAAAGGAGAAAAUAGGAAAUCAUGACAAUGAAGGACAGCAUUCGAUGUAUGCCAAAACAACUAUAGUAGUUAUAAACAGCUUUUAAAUGCAUGAGAUGAGAUGGCUAAAGAAAUCCAACAACCAAACUCAAAGCUUAAUUAGUCAUUCUACACCACCAGAAAAAUUCAUUCUUAUCUUUUUAACUUCUCUUGUUGGGAGUAGAGAGAAUUUUCUUUUGUGUUUUAUUCUCUUCAACAAAAUAUAAGUAAUAGUUUGCAACAUGCCUAUGAUAGGCAGUGAUCAUGCCUUUAAAAUAACUGAAUUAAAAGAUUCACACAUAUUAUUAACAAUAUAUCGCAAUCCAAUCCAGUCUUGAAAUGAGCCCUAAACCAAGUAUUGGGGUCCUUUUCAUCAACCAUUAUAUGCAUCUUUGAUUCUUGCUUCAUCAUCUCUAUUUCUGCUUUGAACUGAGUCAUAUAUGAAGCCCUUGCACAUCUUCAAAGCCUAUCUUAAGAGUAAGACCUCUAUGCAUUUGCUUGAAGUUAGUAUAAAAGUGUUGGACACAACACCUAUGCUCAGCUUCUGGAAGUUUGUCCCUAACAGCCUAAACUAUACCCUUUGCAACACACACAACAAUCACAUAUGCCACACUAAUAUCAAUAGUUUAACAUAAAUAUUAAUUGGAUAACAAAUUAAUAAAUACUACCUUCUGUUUGUCAGUCAUAUGCACCAUGUACUAAGAUCUGAAAUUUGUAAAUCUUGUACAAGCAAUCCUAAAGACCAACUCCAGUUAUCAUAAUUCUCUACCCCAACAACUGACAAAGCCAACGGAAACAUUUUGUUAUCACAUCCAUUCUAACUGCUAAUAAAAGCUGCCCAUCAUAUGGACCUUUUAGGAAGCAACUAUCUAACCCAAUCUCUAUAUCAGCCAGCUAAAAACUCUCUUUAUUGGUUCUAAGCGCAUAUACAGCCUUCUAAACCUAGAAACACCAUUUCAUCUAUAUCAGUCUUAACAAACACAGUAAAUCCCGGAUUUGCCCUCUCAAUUCACCACAAAUGUUUCCAACAUGGUGCUAGUUUGUCAUGGAACCCCUGAAUAGUGUCUCUCACUUUUCUAAGUGUUCUAUACCUUACUUAAGGCUAAAAUCAAUAUUUAACUCCUCAAUUACUUUGGUCAUCAACUCAUGCACUGUCAUAGAUGACACUUUCCUUACCUCAUCAACAAAUAGUUUGCUAGCCAACCUAGAUGUCAUUUUUUAUUGUGGAACACUCUUCCACAAGUGUGCUCAUCACUAAGUGUUUUUAUUUGAAAGGUGUUUUCAUCUUGCAUUUUAGACCCAAAUAGCUGCUAGUCACAAUUUCUGCAUUUCAGUCUCACCCUACGUGUGUCAUUUUUCUUGAAACACACAUCUCUCCCAUCCAUUAUUGCUUGGAUCUUACAGCCAACCUGAAUGUAAUGACUGAUGUGAACUUCUGACCAACUUCAAACUUUGGUUUCUUCAUGUCUGUUAACUGGAAAUUUAGGCCUCCUUGUUUUACUAUUCCCAUCUUCAUCAGAUUCACUUUGACUCCUCAAUUCAAAUGAAUCAUCCAAGUCAUAUUCUGAUUCAAUGUCAUCAAUAUUAAUCAUAUCAGGGUCAUCACAACAGUUAAUUUUAAUGGGUGGGUCUCUCUUCCUUCUUGGCUUUUUCUUUCUUUGCUCACUACAAUGAGAAGGACCAGGUUUAUUGCAAUGCGAAGGGCCAGCUUCAUGUGCACCUAGGUCUACUCCAAUAGUUUGACCAAUUUUGAUGGCUUCAUCUAAUACGUCAUUGUCUCCCCCUGGAUCCUCAUAGUCUGAAUCUGCCAUCUUCUUAUCAACAUUGACUCCAUUUUCUUCCUCUUCUUGUCUGGCAAUAUCACAUGAUAUUUCCCCUACACCACCUUCAUUGCUGGCUGCCUUUUGUGCAUUUUCAUUGCAAUUUUUACAUUCAUUUUCUUCUCUGACUUGUGCAUUUAAAGCUUCAUCAUAACCUUCAACAUCUUUUGUUCCUUUGCAGCAUCACUCCUAUUAUCAGCUUUCUCUUCUACCAAAUGUCGUGCCCCAUUUUUUUGAGAUAAGAAUAAAAGAUGAGUUUAAAAAAAAUGGCUUUUGAUUCAAUUUUUGAUUGGAAAAUGACUUUUUGAUUUAAAAAGAAAAUGAAAAAUAUGAGUCUAAAUGGGACUUGAAAAUGUGACGAUUUGACCCAAAAUAUAGUUUAAAAAGGGUUAUUUGAAUUAAAAAUCGGAAUCGCCACUUGGUAUAGAGUUAAGGUGUACCAAGUCACCUAAAAGUGAAUUUUUAAAGAAAAGUAGAAAACUCUUUUCAAACGAACCCCAAGUCUACGAAAAUCAGAGAAAAAGAUUCGGGAGUCACAUUUGAAGAAAGAGAAGGCAAGGAUAAGAAUCCAAGGCACCAUUUCAACCUAGCCAAGGCUAGUUGCGUGAUUUAGUCAAAGAUUUUCUUAUAUUACCCUUAAGAUUUAUCACAUUUGGAUGUACUAUAUGAAUGCAUACCCUAGACCUAAGAGGGUGUCAGGGGGGUUUCGAAAUGUAUCUUCAAAGCUUACUUCGGUACCAAUCACAUUAAUUGUGACGCCCAAUAAAGACUUUUCGAAAAAAUCACGAAUAAUGCAAGUCAUGAGACUCGAAAGAAAGGAAAAGUAAAGAAAAUAAUAAUAUACAAAUGUGUAUGACCUAAAGGAAUGCAUCAUAAUGGGUGCGGGGACUAAUGUUCGUGACUCAAUUUUCCCUUUAAUAGAGGGAAUACGAGUGUGCUAAGGCUAGAAAGCCAAACUCGUCAAUAUCCCAUACUCAAGGGGUUUUUUCUAGUCUAACCAAGCAAAUGUACUAACCUAGGUUUAAUACUUAGAUGAAACGCAAGUCUAAUGUCAUGUUUCAUACAAAGGGGUAAGUAAUAUACAUAUGAGGGAAAAUAUGGGGGAAGGGAUAUACGUAGAAGGAGGGAUGUCAUGCAAAAAAAAUGAUAAAAGACCCUAAAAAGUGAAAACAUGCAUGAGAUGGAGUGAUUUUAUCACACAAUCAUGAUCUAACGCUCGAGGGCUCCUAAGGGUCUAGCAUUGGACUAGCCCUUUUACUAAUACUCUCUCACAAGCAUUGGACUUGUGAGGGCUCGAGGGGAAAACCAUGACUAGCAUUGGACUAGCCACGGUAACGUGCAUUCAUCCACACAAUCAGAUACAAUAUUAAAACAAAUAGACAUGCAAAACACAUAGUUUCACAUAGCACGUAACACAUAAGCAUGCUUGUCUAGAUGCAGAAUCCUAGGAAACGAUUAAACACAUAGGCAUAUAGGCACACACAAGCACAUAGCACACAAGCCCUAUCUAUUACAAAAGGGGAUGCCUACUACAGUCUAAAGGGGAGAUAAAAUAAAUAAAUAAUUAAAAUAAAUAAAUCUUUAACUAUUACAAAUUUGGCAUCCAAGUGCCUUUCAAAUGAGCAAAAUUGAACUACAAUAAAUAUUCAAAACUAAAGCCAAUAAGUAAGUAAAUGAUAAAGAUAAAACACUUUCAACAGGCAUGCAAUUAAACACAUAAAGUCAUAUAGGGCAUGUAGGAUCCAAUAAAGUGAGAAAUAAGGGAUAAAACGUACCUCCCUUGAGGUGGGGCCCUAAUUGAAUGAAAUCACUUAUUUACCCUCCAAAAUAAAAGAAAAGGUCAAGGCAUCUCAAAUAAUCACGUUUAUACGAAAUUGAAUCAUUAAAUGCAUUCAAAUGCCUAAACAGUCCAUAUUCACAAGAUUAGGAUCCAAUUGAAAGGAAAAAGAAAGUUCAAGGGGGGCAAUUUGAUUGAUUUUUUAAUUAUUUGGGCCAUAGUAUAACAAAAAGGAACUUGGGGGGUUAAAGUGUAAUUUUUAGAAUUACUUUCCAUGCAUGCUACGAAGAAACAAAUUCUCAUCUCUGGUUUCCCUUUCUCUGCAGCUUACUGUGUUUCAUUACCAACCCAAACAUUACCAACAAACAUCGACUUUUGAAUCAAACGAUCACAAGACACUCCCCCAAUCAUCAACCAAGCCAAAUAUUACAUUUGUGUUGCAAGACCGAAUGAGAAAAAUCUGGUUUAGUGAUUGCUAGAAAAACAAAGUGCAGCAGUAGUUUUCGUAACAGCAAAACAAGAAAAUGCAGCAACAAUCUUUAACUCUUGUUUGAAAUGCCAAAAACAAAACGUUCAAGAAAUCAUGCUUAAGCUCAGACCCUGAAACAAACAAGAUGCCAAACAUGCUAUGAAUCAAACACUCAUCAGAGAAAACGCAUGCCAAGCUGAAGUUUUCCUUCCCACAACACUUUGUCUUCGACUUCAGCAUAUAGGAAACAACCAUGAAUAGCUUGCUGAAGCCUCCAACUUCAACUCUUAAAGACAUCAAAUUCCAAAUCAGAAAAUGAAAACCAAAUGCGUGGUUAAUAUUCGGGUCCCUCCCAAUUCAAAAUGUAUUCGCAAGGAAAUAAACUUCUGCACUGAUUUGCUUUUUUUUUUAACUUUGCAGGUGACCUGAUAGCAUGUGAUAAUCUUAACCAGAAAAAACAAUCUCAAAUAUUUAACAAGCUUCCUAAACUCAUCACUGAAAUAUAACAUUGAAUGCACAAACGAAGGAAAAAAAUCUGAGCAAAGGAGGAAUUCAUCAGACCCCAGAUUCAUUCAUUAGUUUCAAAACUAAUGACUUUCCAAACACAGCUUUAACACCAGAUGUUGUUCAUGGCAUUUCACUCAAGCAUAGACAACAAAAAACAAGCAAGUCAAACGAAGUCAUAGCUUCAGCAAAACGAAUACGUGAAAAUGACAGCCACUACAACCCAAAGUAAAACACAUGAAUUGGUCAAACGUUGCUGCAACAGAUUUGAGCAAGCCGAGAGUUGCAAACCUGUUGCAUUAGAAGCUCAAUCUAUUUCUAAGAAUCCAGAGCUACCCAACUACGAUAAAGGAUCUCACGAACAGGGGCAUAAGGCCAUAUUCAUCAGAAAUCAGCAAUAACAUCAUGUUCAUCAGAAAUCAGCAACAACAAAUCACAACCAAGAAUAAACGAACUAGAAAGCUGCAGAUCCUUACACAAAUAUCACCAGAUCUUCACAAAAUGGUAUGAAAAUGACAGGAAGAAAGGCUGGAGUUACCUACAAAUGUCGGUGAAAUAAAGCAAACGUGAAAUAUGUCCGAAAAAUGCAUGCAAAUUCCAGAAAUGAGAUUGAGAAUGCCGGCGCCGCAGAACUUCAGCGCUGAUGAAGUCGUCACCUUGGCUCCUGAUUUGGCUAUCUUCCUAUGGUUUUCCCUUCAAAAUUUCUGAAUGAAAAACACUCCCAUCACAUUGUAGAUGUUCCAGAUUACCCUAAAUCUCCAAUAAGGAGCCAAAUCCAUAGAAAAAAUUGCCUCCAAAGACAACAGAAAAUCAGCCUGGAUAGCAGAUUUUCUGGAAAAUUUUCUCUUCCCGCCGCCGCUCUUUCCCCUCGUUUUUCUCAGUUUUCUCCUCUAACUCUUCCCAGAUCUAACUCUCUCCCUCUCUUAUUUUGGUUUUCUUCCCUAUCCCAGAAAGCUCUCUAGUUUCCCCGGCUCCUUUCUUCUUCGUGUUCCCUUUUCGCAAACCUCAGCCGAAGCCUCCCUCUUUACUUCGGUCCUCCUGUUUUUCCCUCAACCAAAGACGAAAGCCCUCUGUUCUUUUCCUUCCCUUUUUCGUUUCCUAUGUAGCUCCUCCGAAAGCUUCUCCCUCAGUUUUUUCUUUUCCUUCUGCUUUUUCUUCCUCCUUCAGUCCAACGCUUUUUCUUUGUUUUCGUUCCUUUUCCCCGCAGCUUCUCUCUUUUCACCGUUUUCCCUCCUUCCGGGUCUCUAACUCAGCCGCCCUACUGUUUUUCUUUCUGUCAACCUCAGCCCUCCUCCUUUCUAGUUUCUCUCAGCCGUCCUUAGAUGCUCCCUUAGUUCUCUGCUGUUAUCUUUCUUUUCCCGUCGUUCUCCUUUUUGCCCCCCUUUUUCUCAGCCGCCCCUUCUUCCUUUUAUAACAAACAAAACACUAAACCCUCCUCUAAAGGGUUCUGAUGGAAGCCAAGUCAUUAGCCUUGUAGAUCAUCCGAUGGUGAACAAAAACAAGGAGUUGUUGUGCCUGCUUGAAAUGUUAUAUGAAGAAAUAGGCGCGGAUCCUGUGUAGCUCGGGUGCAUGAGCCUGUUUCCUUUUUUUUUCGGCAUUUUCAUUUUUUCAUUUUUCUCUUUUUCUUUUGUUUUUCUGAAAUUUAAUAUGAAGACAAAAUAAACCAGAACAAAAUAAAAUAAAAUAAAAAUUAAAACCCUAGAAUUGAAACAAAUAAACCCAUUAAAUUAAUUAAACAAAUAAAAUUAAAAGAUCAAAAAUUUGGUGUCUACACCAAAAUUUCAGUUUCAGUCGCUUUGCUAUUCACGUCUUCAUAUUCUGGUUCAUCUUCAGCAGCAACACUAUAAAAAUCCUCACUUUUUUGUUCAACAUCAGCACAUUUUCCUUGCUUGCCUGCAGUUUUUGGUGCUAUUUCUGGCCCAUUACUACUGUCUAAAUCUUUAGAAAACAGAUUCGGUACUCUCGGUGUCCAGUUGCUACUGCACCCUUUUGUAGUGUCUAAAUUUACUGGAUGAAUGUCAAUAUUUUCUCUACCAUCUUUUUCCACUUCAUCAGGGUCUAUACCUUUUCUAUGAUUAUAACAUCACUGUCUCUAUCCCUUUCGGCUUCAUCUCCCUUAGCUUGACUUAAGGGUGCUACAGCCUGUGGAUAACCUUGUGAGAAAACUCUAAGAAACACUUCUGCCACCCUAUGUGGUGGUAAUAUGUUCACCAUCAUCUCACAAUCCCUAUCACACAUACAAAAGACCAAGCCUGUAUCCAAUGUCAUCCCUGGUAGCAGAUAAUACCACCCAAAACCAUCUUCUACAUCAUACCCAAGUCUCUCUUCACAUUUGUCUAGAGCUACUAAUGACCACAUUUUUGGGUUGCAUCUACCUAUAAAAUCAACCAUUCCCCCUAUAUACUGCUUGUUAGGAGAGUCUGUGAAGGUCCCUUGAUGGUGUAUCUUUAAGGAGAAAGGUUCAGGCCAAAUUCCACUAUCACCAUUUCCUGGUUCAAAGAAAAAUUUUUUUAAUUCAAUAAUUAAUUUUUUGACACCUUUUACAGUGAAUCGGGACCACAAUGUCUUUAAUACAAGGAACAUUAGGGUUUGGACAAGAUAAACAUUGACUUAAAAAAGACCCCAAAUCAUUUUCAAGCCCAUACAUUCGACAUUAAACAAUUUUGUCUACCAUAAUUUAUCACUAACAUAUAACAUAUAGAGGUCAAUCUGGCCCUUUUUACAUUCCACAAUAUCACUACUAAACCUAACCGACAACAAUCAAAUAACCCAACUACUAUAUACGCUAUUAUCCAACAAGCAAACAAUGACCGUAAUAUCAUUUCUCUUACUGGGGCGGCCUUUCUCUUCUUGUUCUUCAAUGGCAACCUCAUUUCUCCAUCAAACCCUCUUCAAUGGCGAUCUUGAAUUUUCCAUGUUUACAAUAAAUUUCAUCUCUGACUCACGGUCACUAUCAUUUCAAGGGUAUAGACUAGUAGAAAUUUGAUAAUGUAUUGUUCACACCUUUUUCUCUCUCUCUCUCUGUGUUCAAAUCCAAGGUGAAGACGGCAGAAACAAAAACAAAGCUGUUUCGACUUAUUUUUCUUUUGCCCUUAUACCUAACGGGUGGCUAUUUUAGUUUUCAUGACUUAUCUAAUCUCACUAACGGCGCUUGUUUUGCACGCUCGAAGAACCCUGAUGAUUCUGUGGAGUCCGUCAACGAUUUUACUUAAUUGGGACGGAUUCAGUAGUUUGGGGACUUAAGUGUCUCAUUUACAAGUUUAGGGAUUAAAGUGAAAAUAGAGUAUAGUUUAGGGGGUCAAAAGGAAAUUUACCCGGUUUAAUUUGGUAUCAAAGACAGAGAAAGAGGAUCCAAGGCAUUUUAAAAAACGCGGGAAAGCCAAGCCAAGCUGCAAAUUCCCGCCAUUUCAUGUUACUAUUUCCGCCCCCAACUAAGCAAAACACCAAAAACAAAUACAAAGUCCACGCCUGCUACCGCCGCCGCCGCAGCAGCCACCGGUUUCCUCCUGAAAUAGAGCUCCCAUGGCUGAAACUCCAAAGAAAAGAUCCAAACAAACCCCUGAGCACCAACAGCAUGAUCUAUCUUCCUCAAAUGCCAUUACAAUCCUGCAACCCCAGUAGCCCUAGACCCCACCCCUGUCCGCCGAUCUUCCCGCCUUUACACCAACCCAACAGCGGCCACUGCUCCACCUCCUCCACCACCACGUUUCACCCGCCGUAAAUCCCUCAAUUUCACAACCACCACCCCACCCCCACCCCACCCCAAAACCCCCAAGAAACCAGCUCCCCAAAGUCAGGAAGAUGCUGCUAAGCAGAUUUCGCCUAUAUCCCCCGAUCGAUAUGAAACUAGGAGAAAAAGAAAAUUAGAUGAAGAAAAGAAUGCGGGUCUUGCGAAAAAUAAGGAUUUGAAAGGGGGAAGAAAAGGGUUUAUUAUAGAAAAGUGGUUUAUGAUGGGGGUGAGUUUUCUAUAGGGAUGAUGUCUAUGUGAAGAGGAGAGACAAUGCUGAAUCGGAUAAUGAGGAUCCUGAAGUGGAGGAGUGUGUGAUGUGCUUUAAGGCUGGGAGGGCGGUGAUGAUUGAGUGUGAUGAAUGCUUGGGGGGAUUUCAUCUCAAAUGUUUGAAACCACCUUUAAAGGAGGUUCCAGAGGGGGAUUGGAUUUGCAGGUUCUGCGAGGCAACAAAGUUGGGGAAAAAUGUUGAAUUGCCUGUGCCACCUGCAGGGAAGAAGAGGGCUAGGACUGCUAAGGAGAAGUUGCUUUCGAGUGAUUUGUGGGCAGCCCAUAUUGAAAGGUUUGGAAAACACUUUUCCAACCAAUGUUAUGUUUUGAUGAUUAUGCCUCAACUGGUUAAUGAUUCCUGAUUACGUUUACACUGGUGAUUUUUGAAUAUCGCAUAGUAUGUGGAAGGAAGUGGAUGGUACUUAUUGGUUUCGGUCUCGAUGGUAUAUUAUUCCUGAGGAGACUGCUGCUGGGAGACAGCCACACAAUUUAAGGAGGGAGCUUUACAGGACUAACGAAUUUGCUGAUGUUGAGGUAGUAACUGCAAUCCCCUAAUUCACCGUAUAGGUUCACUUUUUCCAGAUGCAAUUGCUUAUGCUUUCAUGAUAGCGGACUGCAUAUUUAUAGAUGUUGGAGAAGAACAGGUUUAUGCCAUGAUUUUUGCAUAAUGUUUUGCAUAGUCCCAAAGUGUUGCUCAGUAUUGUAUGCUGUGUUUCUUUUUUGUAAUGCUUGGAUAACUGUAUAUUGCAUUGUUAAUUACCAUUGUGUACUGAGACUGUUUCUUUUAUGCACAUAGAACCUGGUAAAGAGCAGUUUGUGGGCAUUUCAUGGAAUGUAACAAUUGUUUUAUGAGAUUAAACAAAGGCUGUUGAGAGUCUGGAUUUCUCUAACUAUGAAGGCAUCAUGUUUCUAAGGGGUUCUUUUAGGACACAUGGAAUUUUCUGUGUUGACAUUGACUCUGUAGUACUUGUUUCUCUAGAUGGAAUCUAUCAUUAGGCAUUGUUAUGUUAUGAACCCUAAAGAUUUUAGCAAGGCUGCUGAUGAAGGAGACGACAUUUUCCUGUGUGAAUAUGAGUAUGAUGUAUGUUGGCACAGUUUCAAACGCAUUGCAGAAAUCUCAAAUAAUGAAGAGGUAAGUGUUCCUAAACUCUGAACAACAUAAUUGGGGAUGGUAAUGCUUUUGCAUUGGACUUGAUUGAGACUGAUAUAUGCUUUUAUGAUUAAUAGGAUGCUGAAGAGGAUGAAAGUGAUAAGGACUGGAAUUCUUGCGAAAUUACGGGCUCUGAUUCUGAAGAUGACACAGACUAUAAAAAAGAGAAGAUUAAUGGCUCCCAGCGUGGACCCUCAUUUGGUCUCAUUUGGUCAUUCAUUGGCUGCUGUAUGAUCUUUCUUUUUUUUUUUUUUUAUAAAUCUCCUAAGUACUUAUUGGUAAUGGCAUCUAGUUGAAGCUGAUAGGCUGUUUUAAACUCUCUCAGAACUUGCGGAAGGGGCAAUUUUUUGGACUUCAAAAGAUUGGGGCAAAGAAAAUACCAGAACACACAAGAUGCCACAAACAAACAGAAAUUGGAAAAGCAAAAGCUAUGCUUCUACUGGCAUGCUUACCUAAGUCUCCACCUUGUAGGAAUAAGUGAGGAUGAUGCAGUAUAUUGUUUAUUUCUUGUGAUUCUUUGGUUAUCAAAAGAUGACAGGUCAUUCGAUGUAGAGAAAUGGAAGAAAUAACUGCAUUUAUCAAAGGAGCUGUAUCUGAUGGUCAAUGCCUCGGAAAAUGUCUUUAUAUUCAUGGAGUUCCUGGAACUGGGAAGGUAAGAUCUAGUAGCUAUUAUUGCAACAACAGUCAUAUUGUUUCUAGACAACACAUUAAAGUUAGCCACAUAAUGGUAUAAACUUAUUCUUGUUGUUGCCAACCAACAGACAAUGACUGUCCUUGCAGUAAUGAGGACCCUAAAAAUCGAAGUUGAUUCUGGGAAUAUCAAGCCUUAUUGCUUCGUUGAGAUCAAUGGUCUAAAGCUAGCCUCACCUGAAAAUAUCUACAGAGUAAGGUUUUUGGCGUUUAAUUUAUUUAGGACAUUCAUCUAUUGCCUGAUGACAUUCUCUUCUUUAAUUAUCUUCAGGUAAUCUAUGAAGCUUUAACUGGACACAGAGUUAGUUGGAAAAAGGCUCUACACUUAUUGAAUGAGCGAUUCUCAAAUGGGACGAAUUGGGAAGAAGAAAAUAACAAGCCUUGCAUCCUACUCAUAGAUGAACUUGAUCUUUUAGUAACCAGAAAUCAAUCGGUAAUUGGCAGGAGAUUUAAGAUUAGCUACGUUAACAUCUGCUUUCUACAAAAUUUAGAAAAUUUUUUCACCCAUAACCACCUUGUUUUUCCUGUCUUGGCUUGUAAAUCACAGGUUUUGUACAACAUUCUUGAUUGGCCUACCAAGCCACAUUCCAAACUAAUUGUGAUAGGUAAACACCCACAUUCUUGAUUGGUUCAACAUGGCAGGCACAAUUUGAUGAUAACAAAAGAAUGGGACUUUAUUUCUGCAUUUUGAAUAUCAUUCCAGGUAUAGCAAAUACCAUGGAUCUUCCUGAAAAGUUGCUUCCACGCAUCUCGAGUCGGAUGGGCAUACAGAGGCUUUGCUUUGGGCCCUAUAACUACCAGCAGCUUCAAGAAAUCAUAUCUAGUCGCCUCAAAGGAAUUGAUGCUUUUGAAAAACCAGCAAUUGAAUUUGCUUCUAGAAAGGUUUUUUUUUUUCUCUUUUUAUAAAUGAAUUAUGUUUAUGUGUACCUCAUAAAGAGUUCACCUGCUUUGAAGCUUUCAUUACUAUUGGUGUUUAUGUUUCUAAAUUUAGGUUGCUGCUGUCUCUGGUGAUGCUCGCCGUGCACUGGAGAUAUGUAGGCGAGCGGCAGAACUUGCAGAUUAUCGCUUAAGAAAAUCACAAUCACUUAAUGAUUCUGCUGGUACAAGUGAGACCUCUUAGAUGUUGCUUUCAUCAAUCUGAAGAUAUUUUAAUUAGAAUGCAUGUCAAUCCAGCAUCGGAUGAAGAAUUGUACCAAUAGAGAAAAAGGAAUACCAACUUAUUGGCUCUUGUGCUUCUCAUUUUCAGUUAAGAAGAAUCUGCAUAAGAAAUACCCUUGAACUAUUUCAUGUAAUUUGGCAAUAAAUCUUUUCCAUUUUUGUUUUCAUCAAAUGAAUCGACAAUUUCUAAGCACUUUACAAUAUCCAGAUAGACUGCUAUGAAUUGCAUGGGCAUGUGCUAUCCCGGUUCAGAAUGAUCCGUGAAAGGACAUAUAGUCCAUAUAACCUGUAAUCAGAUCUGAAAAUAAAGCAUUUCAUGGUAGAUUGUGUUGCAAAAAUUUUAUGGCAUGAAAUUCAGUAAUAUUGCUUAUUCUUUCUCUAAUCCAAAAUUGAUGAAGCCAAAGUUUUAGUGUCCUUGAAGUUUCUGCAAGAUAUCAUGGUUAUGCAAGUAUUGCCAUUUUUCAUCUUUCAGCAUUUACUUAUAUCAUCGAGUAUGAGAGGCAAGAUAAGAGCAGGCUGGCCUUCUAUUCAACUUUUGGUAAAUAAAAGAAUUUAAGACAACAAUUUGUGAAAUGAUGGACUUGGUAUUGGCCCACAUAAAGUACUUUCUGACUCCUAUUUUUUAUUUUUACAAUGUUAAUAUUGUAAAGAUUUCUAGAAAUGCUGGCUAAUUCCUUAGAAUGUAGAUGUGUAAAGUUUUAGUUUGGUUACAGAAACUUAUUAGGCUAAAAUGCAGGGAAAAGAGAGUCAACGAUGAAAAAUUUGCUUCAGGAUUUGUGGAGACAUAUAGGAAAAGAAUUUAGACAUUGAUGAAACUUCUGCCUGUUCUACCUCUAUCUAUGUGGCUAGAUAAGUGAAGUGAUGUUUAUAGUACUUGUCGAAAGACCUGGGGACAUUGACAGCACAGUAACAUGGCUGGUAUUAUGUGUAUUUUGUGACACCUUUUCAUCAGAGGCAGGCAAUUUAUUUGAAGAUUAAUAGUGAUAAGUUGCACACUUAGAAUUGGUGAUGUGAUAAUAUUUAGGACAAAAAGACAUCAAUAAUCUCGUUUUCUGCAACAGAUGGCUUUAAGAUUCAGGUCUGCACCUCUCUUUAGAUAUACCAAAUUGGAUGUCCAAUAGCUUCUUAUGGCAUCUAAGCCUCACAUGAUUUGGUGAACGAUUUGCUACCUGAUGCUGUAGUCAGAAGUACAGUUUUACACUAAAAUCAGUUUCUGUUCUUUUUGAAAGAGAAAAAGUACAGUUUAAUCCACAAUGUGAAAGUAGUAAAAGUACCUGUAGUUACUGCAGUUUUAUUAAUGAUUUUGCAGUUUUAAGUUCUCAAGUUUAAGAUAUUUAAAUCCUGCUUAUUUGUUCCACGCCAGAAAAAUGUGGAUUCACAGUUUCUUUGUGAACUUAUCAGGUUUCAAUGAAUCAAAACAGGCACUAAUAUAGGCUUAAGGCAGUCAAUUCAAAAGUUAAACAUAUUUCAUACUAUAAAAUUUGUUUCAAAGUAACUAACCAUUUAGUGACCUUGUUCUCAUGAUCUUGUCGUCUGAGAUUUUCUUUCAAGUCAUCCCAAGUAAACCAAUUUGUGGGGUUUUUGGUAUUACUGCUCAUGCAAACCCUAAUAAGGCUUCUAAGCAUCACAAUGAAGGUUGAUUCAUUUACCAUUAGCUGUCAAUUCUUUUGACGAACUUAAAUUUUGUGUAAAUUGAAGAAAGGUAAUUUGCAUCCCUUAAACAUUUAAAAAAAAAUCAAAGCCAUAUCAUCGGGAUAUUUGAAAUGAAGCAAGCGAUGUAUGAAAAGUUAACAAAAAAGUCUUUGUAUGGAGCUGUAAUGACACCAUAUGCUGGUAUUACAGUUUUCCUUUUGAUCUAUCUCUACACCUUCUCGCAACUAGCUAAUGAACUGUUAACAUCGACCACCAGCUUUGUGAAGAUAGAUUCUGUCAGCUAGCAGGUGCCAAAGGAUUAAGUUAACUACCUUACCUUACAGCUUUAUAGCUGUAAGCUUCAGUGAGGACAUUGAAGAACUAAUUAUUGUGAUCUACACUGUCUUUUCUGUUGCACAACAUCUACUGUCCCUUCUUGAUGAUUGAUAUAAUAUACAUACAUAUGUAUAUAUGGUCUUCAUUUAUAGCACCUAAUGAUGAAAAAACUUGGCUUUGCUGAAAUAAGCAGGCAAUUUUACCCCCGUUCCUUUAGAAAUUUUGGGGUUCAGGAAGUACAUUGUGCAUUGUCCCCUGUUCUGCCUGGUAUGCUAAUGUUGGUGAUGAAUAACUAGAACUUCAAAUGUGUAGAAUUCAUUUCAUUAAGAACUAUGCCUGGUCCUUAAAAACUUGUGCUCAGAUGACGAACCUGCAUGAUGCCAUUUGUUCAGGAAGAAGUCUUGUUGGUGUGGCAGAUGUAGAAGCAGCAGUAAAGGAAAUGUUCCAGGCUCCUCAUAUUCAAGUAAGUAUACAACUGUGAAGUAUCACGUGAACACUACUCCAUUACAGUUUUUAGAGGAAUACAUCAGUGAUGUCAAGGAAAUGCUGUGCCGCUGUCUUGAGGGUGGAUCCAAGUAUUUGAUGGUACUAGUUCCCUGACAGGGCUUGAGUAAUCAAGUUAUGGAUACUAAUGAAGUCUGUUUUGAUUGAAAUGCAACUUGAUACAGCUGGCUUAUUAUUAGAUGUGGUCAUAAAAGGCCAAAAUUUUCUUCCUUUUUUUUUUGAGGCUGGGAAGGGAGUUCUGCCUUUGUAUUCUUUAGAUCAUUAAGUGGUCCAUAUUUCUUUGAUGUUCACUUAUUAAUUGCAGUUUUCUUUUUAUAGCUAGUCUAUACAUUACUUACUGGAGAACCACCAUAUACACUGCUCAUACAGGCAUUAUUUAUGUAUUGACUUCGUUCGCAGGUAAUGAAAAGUUGUUCCAAACUGAGCAAAAUAUUCUUGGCAGCAAUGGUGCAUGAACUGUACAAAACUGGAUGGGUGAAACCAGCUUUGAAAAGGUUAUAUGGACCCUUUCAUUCUUUGAUUUUUAUUCUUCUUAGAAUGAUGGUCAUGAAUACAGCAGUACUAGUAUUGUUGUUGUUAGAGUUAAUGUUGUUAUUACUAUCAUUUUUGUAGUCUUACUCCUUGCUGCUGUGCUACCAUCUGAAUGCCUGAGUUAUGCAUCUUCACAUGGUUCCAAGCUGCCAAUUGCUUCCUUGGCACAUACAGCGCUAUCAUAUUUUGUUUGUCUUAUCUAUUACUUUUUCUAUUACCACAAGAUAGUAGAUACAACUUGCUGUUUCUUUGUGAUUUUUUUUGAUUCCGCCAAACUGUCCUUGGGAUUUCUUUUUCCUUCUUUGUUUUUGGAUGUGGCACCAGGAGUUGGGGAAAGGGGAUGGGGGAUUUAGCUUUUUCGGGCUGUUAGGGUAGCUUGACUAUAUUGUUUGGUAUGAAAUCUGAUAUUCUGCAUCCAGCCUCCAGCUGCUGCUGAGAGGUUGUUGAAUGUUAGUUGAUGCCACAGCAGCAGCUGGAAAGUAAAAGAUUACAUUCAGUGUCAUUCAAAAAUUGAAUCUUCCCAUUUUUAUCAGGUUUUACUGUUUCUGUUUUGUGUUGACUUUUCUUUUAAGUUUUUAAAGAUUUUUUUUAAAUUAUAUUCUGUGGGAGAGGCUAUAAUAUUAUAUUGCUCUUCAGCAUAAUGUCCGUAAAUGCUUGCUGUAUAUGCAGUUGGCAAUGACAGUUUCAUGCCUGUGUACAAGCAACGGUGAAGCAUUUCCAGGAUUUGACACACUCUUUAGAGUUGGGUAAGAUGCGUAAAUAGUUGUAUUUCCUUCAAUCAUAUGAACCAAAGUAUAUCGUCAGCCAUAUUCUUGUAGACCUUUUAUUGAAAUGACUUCAUUUAUGUGCUCAAAGACACGAAAUAAGUGUGACAUUUGUGUCUUUGCCAUGUAUGCACUUACUAAUUAGCAAAGAAGAUUUAGACCGAAUUUGAAGUUCUAAUGUGCCCCAGAGUUAAAGUUGAGGAAUUUUCUUUGCACUCCUUGUGUUUGAUAUUGGAUCUAAAAAGGAUUUCUUUGUUUUUGUUCCUUUCUUCUGUAGUUGAAAAAUCAAAGACCUUUUUUCCGUGUUACCUUGAUCAUUCAGAGGCUUAUUGUUAUUGAUAACAUAAGAGUGUCUCUGUACAUUGCUGGAAUUUGCAUCUUCGUUUCAUUUUAGUGAGCAUCGAAUUCUCCAUUAGAAAAUUAUAGAUGGUGAAAAAACUUGAGCUGACAUGUAGUGAGGUAAUCUAUGUGUGUUGAGUCCAUGUCAGAUGAAUUUAAAUCCUAUUUACCUCUAGUGUUUCUAAUAUUGUGGCAGAUGUAAGCUUGGGAAUGUCGAAUUAUAUUAUGUGAAGCGGGAGUCAGACACAAAUUGCAAAAAUUGCAACUCAAUUUCCCAAGGUCAGUCAUCACCAAGCCCUUUGUUUUAACUGAAUAAUCAUUAUUCCUCUGAGCUUACUUUCCCAACUUUAACAAGUUUCAAUUAACUGCUGUCUGAUACUGUGCUUGUGGCAUCCAGAGGUCUUGAAAAAAAGUGUAAUCCAGUUUUACUAAUUAGGGUGUCUAAGAGCCAAAGGCAGAAAACUUUGUCAGCUUGGUCAAUACUUGUGAUUUUAGUUGAAGACGUAUGUUCAAUGCCACAUCAUUGCAAAUCAAAAUACCGGCCAUCAAAUGGAUAAAUGGAUUGACUGGUGCUGACAUAGGAUUUCAUUUUGUUACCAUUCAGUUAGAUGACUCUCCUGCAUAGCAUCUCUUGAAGCUGGCAAUUGUAGAAAAGAAAUAAAAAUAAAAACCGAAUUUAGGUGUGUGGGAGACUACAUGACAGGUCGACAGUUAGUUGUCUAUGCCUCUGAUUUGAUAUUAGUUUGUGUAACAAAAAUUUAAGAUGACAAAUAUAAUUGGCCUCAUUCAGGAUGGAACUAGUAUAAUGGUCCAAAGUUUGUGCCUGCAACAUUUCAAUUUUUCAUAUACAAUGAAUAUAUGUGCCUGCAGCAUUCCACUUUUUUGCAUCUGAAUAUUAUGUACAUUGAAACUAGAUUACAGUCCUGAUGUUUCUGUUGAAUUUUGCAGUGAUGAUGUGACUUUUGCCCUCAAAGACAGCAAAGACCUACCAUGGUUGGCUAAAUACCUGUAAUCACAAAUAGUGAGAUGCUAAUGCAUUCUUUCCCGCUUGUGUACUACAGAUUUAUUCUUUUUACGUUUUCUAAAACCCUCUCAAUUUUGCAAAUUCAUUUUUAUUUUGGGAUCUAAAUCCCUGUUAUGAUUGUAGAAGUGGGAUUAUAAUUAUCGGCCUUCCACAUGGCAAGGCACUUAUCAGAUGUGCACUUCUUAGUUUUGAUAGGCAUUUAUAUAUGCUUUUUCCUGCAAAUGACUAAACUUUUUAUAUCGAAUUGAUGAGUAUUUAGUUGCAAUGAAUUUUAGCGUCAGUGCAUGGGUGUUUCUUGAAAUAUUUUAACGGAACUUUAUCAUAGAUGUUUCUGAAAAAAUCUACGGGUGGGAACCGUUGCUACAGGGAUAGGGUGGCAAGGAUGGAAAUGUGAGGUGUUUUCUGGUGUUUGGAUUGGGUACUUAUUGUUUAUCUAGAUCUGUUUUAUAGAAACUAGUGUUUAUGUAGCACCUUGCCUGCAUUAGCACCUUUGAUGUCUUCGCUAUAUCCAUGAUACACGGUUUAUCUUUAAAGAAAGGGAAAUAAGACUCCCAUGUCUGUAGUCUUUCAGGUGACAAGGCUUCUGGACCAUCUAAGUAAUGCCAAGAAGCUUUUCUGUAUUUUUGCCAUCACAGCACUUGUGCUGCAUGGAGUCCAAGUUCUACUUGAGCUAACAAUUUCCUGUGUCAUCUGUAUCCAUUAUGAUAUUAGGCACAAUGCAAAUUUCAGAUCCUUUUAUUCUCAAUAAUCUUUAGCACGUCCAAGGAGAGGUUUUGAAUUUGAACCUUUAGAACUUUAGUGUUAGUAUGUGUUUUUGCACUCAAAAUGUCAAUGCAAGUUUGUUUCUAAUCUUUUCCAAAGUGAAACCAUACUUGUCUCGCUGUUAGGAAAUUCUGUUAUGACACUGGGGAUACCCAAGUAAUUAUCAAAGGUCAUUUGUCGAUUCCUAGACCAGAAGAGAAGAUUAGGCUCUGAGUCUGAGCAUGUGGGUACGUGUUCUUGGAGAAGAACAUCUUUCAUUUCUCUAGGUUGAUAGAUAGGCCAAACCUUAGGUAAAAAUUGUCUAGAACACUUUUUGCUGUAUUUAUAGAACGUUCUCCACAACUAAAGAACAAAAUUAGGUCAUCUGCAAUCAUGCAGUGUGAGAUGACAGGCCCAAUCUUUAAAGGCUCCCAUUUUUCUGGCUCGCUGCUUCUGUCAUACAUAUGGAAAUAUACAUAUGGAGAAAUGGACCCCCUUGUCUGAUUACCCUAAAAAGAAUUAUCCAUUUAGAGGGACAGGUUCACGGAUUAUUAAGAAGUCAAAAGGGAUUAAAUCGUAUUUUUAUAUUUUAAGAGAAGGGGAAGUCAAAAGGGAUUAAAUCGUAUUUUUAUAUUUUAAGAGAAGGGGAUAGGUUCAACGAGAUGACUAACAUGUCAAAGGAAUCUAAAUACUUCUUGAACCAAAUAUGUGCACUAAAGGACCCGGUGAAUUUGAAAGGUUAAGAAUUUCUAGUGUUUGAUAUUUGACAAGAAGAUUUGAUCUCCCAACCAACAUCCCAAUAGGAACUUAAAGACCCUCUUGAUGGACACUAGACCAAUGGUUCAAGUUAAGGCCUCAUGAAACUCCAUUCAAAUUUGUCAUAAGCAUUUUCCAGGUUUAUUUUUAAAGCACAAUUUCCUAUUUUUCUCUCUCUUUGCUAGGAAUCUUUUUCAACACUUAACGCAGCAGGAAACACAUUAAACAAAAAUGUAGAACUCAUUUUACUCGUGAUCAUGAGAGUUUUUUUCUAUUCAAUUUGUUGGUACCGUUAGAAGAUUAUUGCUAAGUAUCUUGAGACUCAAUGAGAGCAGAGAUAAGCGAGCUUGGACAUCAUUUAUAGGAGAGCUGACAAUUAUACAAGAAUCCUGGUCUCCCAGAUUUUACACAGAUGUUUAGUAGAACAACUCCAAACUGUUAUCGUUUGAAAAAAAAAAAAAAAAAAAAAAGAACAGCUCCAAACUUGAAAGUGAAAGCAGGCACUAAUGAGGUUGACCAAACCAGUGUAACUCAAGAGCCUACAUUUAUCUUUCCCUUCUCAUUUAGUUUGUUGAUGUUAAUAAACUUAAAUUGUUCAUUUUGUGAAGCAUUUAUUUGUGAAUUACUUAAAAGAUUUAAUAAUAUGUUUGCACCAUAACUAACAAAACUAGAGAUGUAAACGAAUCUAAUUAAACUGAACACCCUAAUGUUCAAUCUUAUUUGAUUAUUUUAUGAGCUUGAAUUUUUGUUCAAAUUUAUUGUCAAACAGAAUUUGAACAAGUUUCUUUAUUGAAUUUGAAUGUUAUCGAAUAAAAGAUGUUAUUCAAAUUUAGUUUGACUAGUCAAUAACCAAUCUCAUACGAAACUCUUAUCAAACCGAACUUGAUUUAAGUCUCGAGUAAUUUGAUUCAUUUUUCAGCUCUAAACAAAACCAACACUCUAUACAUCAAACUAUUAUCUUCACAGCAGAGAUGUACUCCUUUGUCUUCUUAAUACAACGUUAAGAUUAUCUUUUCUAUUUUUACUAUUUUUUUUCAUUUCUUAGUUACGACCUUUUUUCCAAUUAGCUUUGCACUUUUCGUCAACAAACUAUUGACUUAAAUUUCUUGCGCUGUUUGAGCAUAAGCUUUUAUCUGUUCCAGAUUUUGUAAGAAUGGUAGAAUUAAUUUUAGAAUAGUUACAUGUAACCAUAAUGAUUAUUAUAAUAAAAAUGUCAAGAUUAAAAGUCUACAUACACUUUUCGCGUGCGUGUUUACACACACUUGCUAAAACCUACAAUAGUGGGUAUACUUAGUAGUAAUAAAAAGAUAAUACAUGCAUCUGGUAUACAAAUCUGAGUCGUUACUUUUUUAACUUGUCAAACUCCAUCGACUUUUGAAGUCGAAUUUGAAUUCUGUUUCUAAGCAUUUAAUCAACAAUUUGCUAGAAGGUUAACCGUGUAAACAUGUAACGAGGAAGAUGUUGGAAGCCACUCAUACUACAGCAGGAGAAAACUGCAUCAUACAAGAUGUUAAAGCAAUUACCUUUUACGAACUGUAGCAUUUAUCUUCAUGAAGUACAAUUUAAUCCUACUACGAAACACAAAACUGCAAAUUUAUGCAUUUGACAGCUGCAGAUUCAGAGCAGGUUGCUGCGUAAAAGAGGAGGUCCUCUGCCACAAUGGCCGGCCCAGAAUGGCACUUCCAUGGACAGCAAGGUAGGCGGCAUUCAACCUGUUUCAAAAAUUGAACAUUCUCAGCUAAAAGAACCACAGAGCACAUGGACAUCAAAGGAACAAAGACUACUACAACAUUGUUGCAAGGAAGUUGCAAAAGAGGGAUUUACUUGUCAACGCCACGCGUAGCCAAAGGAUCAUAUAGUUCCUCUCUUUGUUCUAAAGCAGGAGCAGCAGCUGAUAUUGCUGCAGGAUCUUGAGAACCUUCACCCUGUAAAGAAUACAACAUAAACCACUUUUUCAGAAGAAAAAUCAACAAGAUGUGCAACCAAAUAUAUUCUAAAAACAAGAUUAACAAGAAAAAAUUCCCAGAAGGAAUGAUAGGUAUCUCAAGAUUAUGGAAAUCCAGAAAUCUUGGUGGUGGUCACAUACUGAAGGUUUUGAGAGAGGCAAAGUGUGAAAAGAUGGCACAUUGGCCAAUGAAGUAAAUCUUUCUAUUAUCCUCGUAAUCGUCGCCUAUGCUCCAGUCACCAACAAAAGUUCAUAGGAAAAGAAGGGAACAAACACAACAGAAGUUGCUCAUGUGCAAUCCGAGUCAGCAUCUUUCAACUCUCCCAAUCAAAGCAGUCCAUCACUGCUUAAGAUGGAAGAACAUUGAUUGAAGCUCUAUUCCAAUCAACGUUACCUCACCAGGUGGAGCAAGGAAGUUAUAACAGCAGAUUUGCGGGUUGAGUUAAAAUUUUUGAUGGAACUCAAUCUAACUAAAUUCAAGGCAAAUCUAUUUUAAGCUUGGCUUCCCCAAGGUAGUUCACGAACUCCCAAGCCCCAACUGCCUAACCUCUG